UACCCAGACUCCUACGGGAGGCAGCAGUCGGGAAUAUUGCGCAAUGGAGGAAACUCUGACGCAGUGACGCCGCGUAUAGGAAGAAGGUUUUCGGAUUGUAAACUAUUGUCAUUAGGGAAGAAAAAAGACAGUACCUAAGGAGGAAGCUCCGGCUAACUACGUGCCAGCAGCCGCGGUAAUACGUAGGGAGCGAGCGUUAUCCGGAAUUAUUGGGUGUAAAGGGUGCGUAGACGGGAAAAUAAGUUAGUUGUGAAAUCCCUCGGCUCAACUGAGGAACUGCAGCUAAAACUGUAUUUCUUGAGUGCAGGAGAGGAAAGUGGAAUUCCUAGUGUAGCGGUGAAAUGCGUAGAUAUUAGGAGGAACACCAGUGGCGAAGGCGACUUUCUGGACUGUAACUGACGUUGAGGCACGAAAGUGUGGGGAGCAAACAGGAUUAGAUACCCCUGUA
This 448-nucleotide ribosomal RNA is filed under the name uncultured bacterium. RNAcentral describes it as "bacterial SSU rRNA". It matches the Rfam family "Bacterial small subunit ribosomal RNA", at positions 328 to 792 of the family's 1533-position model. The record is from RNAcentral.